RNAcentral lists this ribosomal RNA (147 nucleotides) under Cerioporus choseniae. RNAcentral describes it as "Polyporus chozeniae partial 25S ribosomal RNA". It matches the Rfam family "Eukaryotic large subunit ribosomal RNA", at positions 37 to 181 of the family's 3401-position model. The record is from RNAcentral. Lineage: Eukaryota; Fungi; Basidiomycota; Agaricomycetes; Polyporales; Polyporaceae.
AGCAUAUCAAUAAGCGGAGGAAAAGAAACUAACAAGGAUUCCCCUAGUAACUGCGAGUGAAGCGGGAAAAGCUCAAAUUUAAAAUCUGGUGGUCUUUGGCCAUCCGAGUUGUAGUCUGGAGAAGUGCUUUCCGUGCUGGACCGUGUA